UCGUUUCCUCCAGUUGCUCUUCUGGCUAGCACUAUCCAUGAAUCUUCUGAUUCCCCUGAUGACGUUCAAGCCAUGGAGACACCCACCCUUCAAUAGAGAGAUCUUCUAGACGAAAAGGCCCCCCUGAAAAAGCUAAGAUGAGGUAAACGGUUUGAAGCUUCUCCGACCAAGUCAUCCCCAAAAACAUCAAAACCGUCACGAUCAGAAGUGUUUAUUUCUGACUCUCCCUCCAAGAAAUCUGCAAAAGACACCACUCUGCCUUUGCAUUCUCAUGCUAGCACUUCUAUGGUCUCUGAUGUUCUUAAAGGCAAAGGUCAAGUUUUCGGUCAGCCUUUUGUUCCCGUUCUGCCUGCAGCUCCAUCUCCUUCGGCCUCUGAAGAAAUUUUAGUGGUAUGCUCUCCCGCCUCAACUUUCUAAGGUCGUCCAAAAAUCAUCCUCCCAAAACAACCCUGGGUACAUCCUCUCAAGUUGUCUUAGUUGUUGAACAUGUGAAGGCUCUAUAUGAAUCUUCAGUCAACGGAGUUCUGGAGAAGUGGGUGGACUGCUGAUUUGGAGAAAAUUGCGGAUGAGAUUUUGGCUGAUCCUUCUCUUCCGAUGAAGCAAUGUAUCUGCGGGGAUUAUCUCAAGGAUUUAAGCAGGUUGAUUGGAAGCCCUAUCCCUAAAAACAUUGACAUUCUGGAUUCAACCCAGCAGUUCCUUGACGUUCACAAAGCUUCCUCUGAGAAAAUAAACCUGCUCAACCUAAACUAGAACGCCUGAUGGAGGCAGCGAUAGCUUCUUAGGCUAAGAUAAAUUGCCUAGAUGAGCAGAUCAAUAUCCUGCGAGAGGAAAAAGAGAAGGAGAAACAGUUGAUAGAGUCCAGCGCUCGGGAAUUUAAAGAACUCUGUGGGGAAGUUGCUCAGUUGGCUGAAGCUCUUCAAGACUCUGAAGCCCGUGUUGAAGUGUGGCAGAGGGACAUACUGGAAGUCUCCCAUCAACUAUCUCAACUAGAUUUCAAACUCCAAGCUGGUUGGUCCUAGUUGGUUGAUCGUUUUAACCUUGAGGCUGGUGAGCCUGAUAAGCCUAAGGGGAAUGCCCCUUAAUAUGUUUGGAUGAUUUUCCCUCUCAUCUUUUUACACCUCUUUUUCCCUAGUUGUGAACAUUUAUGGUUGUUCUUUUUGGUAAUGCAAUGAUUUCCUUUUGCUUUUGUGCUU
Macadamia integrifolia is the source of this 1193-nucleotide long non-coding RNA. RefSeq lists it as uncharacterized. The transcript has 2 exons. Lineage: Eukaryota; Viridiplantae; Streptophyta; Magnoliopsida; Proteales; Proteaceae. The record is from RefSeq and is a predicted model, not a curated record.